This 583-nucleotide ribosomal RNA is filed under the name uncultured fungus. RNAcentral's name for it is "eukaryotic LSU rRNA". The stretch from base 174 to 327 matches the Rfam family "5.8S ribosomal RNA". Lineage: Eukaryota; Fungi. The record is from RNAcentral.
UCCGUAGGUGAACCUGCGGAAGGAUCAUUAUCGUAGGGGCUUCGGCCCCCUCAAGAUAGAACCCUUGCCUUUUUCGAGUACCUUCGUUUUCCUCAGCAGGCUCGCCUGCCAGUAGGGACCUAACAAACCCUUUGUAACGCCUGCAAUUGUCUAACAAAACAAACAAAAAUCAAAACUUUCAACAACAGAUCUCUUAGUUCUGGCAUUAAUAAAGAACGCAGCGAAAUGCGAUAAGUAGUGUGAAUUGCAGAAUUUAGUGAAUUAUCGAAUCUUUGAACGCACAUUGCGCCCUAUAGUAUUCCAUAGGGCAUGCCUGUUCGAGCGUUAUUUAACCCCUCAAGCUCUACUUAGUGUUGGGCGUCUGUCCUGCCUUAUAGCGCGGACUCGCCUUAAAUCUAUUGGCGGCCGGCACGUUAGCUUUGAGCGCAGCAGAAACGCGAACUUGAGGCCUAGCAGAUCGGCUCCCAGAAGCUACCCCUAUAAAUUUAACCUCAGAUCAGGUAGGGAUACCCGCUGAACUUAAGCAUAUCAAUAAGCGGAGGGAAGUCGGACUGGCCAAGGGGCACACCAGGGGGGGGGGAUA